Bos indicus x Bos taurus (hybrid cattle) is the source of this 211-nucleotide long non-coding RNA. Lineage: Eukaryota; Metazoa; Chordata; Mammalia; Artiodactyla; Bovidae. The record is from Ensembl.
GAUAGAGACCAUUUGGCCUACAAAGCCUAAACUAUUUACCAUUUGUCCCUUUACAGAAAAGGUGUGCCAGUCUCCACGAGCAGUAGAUUACAAAGCUCAGCACAACCUUCUCAAAGGGUGGGUGCAUCCGUACGUAUUGGGAUAUAAGACUCCUUGGGGAAAUUCCAAUUCUAAAUGUUGUAAAAUUUCGUGAAAAAUCGUCUAGAAGUAC